Molecule: ribosomal RNA, 384 nt
Filed under: uncultured bacterium
Lineage: Bacteria
Description: bacterial SSU rRNA
Rfam family: Bacterial small subunit ribosomal RNA
Source: RNAcentral
GGACGAACGCUGGCGGCGUGCUUAACACAUGCAAGUCGAACGCUGAUCCACUUUCGGUGGUGAUGAGUGGCGAACGGGUGAGUAACACGUGGGUAAUCUGCCCUGCACUCUGGGAUAAGCCUUGGAAACGGGGUCUAAUACCGGAUAUCACACUCUUGGGCAUCCAGGGGUGUUGAAAGUUCUGGCGGUGCAGGAUGAACCCGCGGCCUAUCAGCUUGUUGGUGGGGUAAUAGCCUACCAAGGCGACGACGGGUAGCCGGCCUGAGAGGGUGACCGGCCACACUGGGACUGAGACACGGCCCAGACUCCUACGGGAGGCAGCAGUGGGGAAUAUUGCACAAUGGGCGAAAGCCUGAUGCGGCGACGCCGCGUGAGGGAUGACGG